RNAcentral lists this ribosomal RNA (301 nucleotides) under uncultured bacterium. RNAcentral describes it as "partial 16S ribosomal RNA". It matches the Rfam family "Bacterial small subunit ribosomal RNA", at positions 509 to 807 of the family's 1533-position model. The record is from RNAcentral.
CAGUAGCCGCGGUAAUACGUAGGUGGCAAGCGUUGUCCGGAAUUAUUGGGCGUAAAGGGCUCGCAGGCGGUUUCUUAAGUCUGAUGUGAAAGCCCCCGGCUCAACCGGGGAGGGUCAUUGGAAACUGGGAAACUUGAGUGCAGAAGAGGAGAGUGGAAUUCCACGUGUAGCGGUGAAAUGCGUAGAGAUGUGGAGGAACACCAGUGGCGAAGGUGACUCUCUGGUAUGUAACUGACGCUGAGGAGCGAAAGCGUGGGGAGCGGACAGGAUUAGAUACCCCUGUAGUCCCUGUCUCUUAUAC